Bos taurus (domestic cattle) is the source of this 86-nucleotide microRNA precursor. Lineage: Eukaryota; Metazoa; Chordata; Mammalia; Artiodactyla; Bovidae. The record is from Ensembl.
AUUGGGUUGGCUAAAAAGUUCAUUUGGUUUUUUCUGUACCAUCUCAUCUUGUGGAAAAACCCGAAUGAACUUUUGGCCAACCCAAC